Molecule: ribosomal RNA, 526 nt
Filed under: uncultured bacterium
Lineage: Bacteria
Description: partial 16S ribosomal RNA
Rfam family: Bacterial small subunit ribosomal RNA
Source: RNAcentral
UGGGGAAUUUUGGACAAUGGGCGAAAGCCUGAUCCAGCAAUGCCGCGCGUGUGAAGAAGGCCUUCGGGUUGUAAAGCACUUUUGUCCGGAAAGAAAUCCUUGGCUCUAAUACAGUCGGGGGAUGACGGUACCGGAAGAAUAAGCACCGGCUAACUACGUGCCAGCAGCCGCGGUAAUACGUAGGGUGCAAGCGUUAAUCGGAAUUACUGGGCGUAAAGCGUGCGCAGGCGGUUUGCUAAGACCGAUGUGAAAUCCCCGGGCUCAACCUGGGAACUGCAUUGGUGACUGGCAGGCUAGAGUAUGGCAGAGGGGGGUAGAAUUCCACGUGUAGCAGUGAAAUGCGUAGAGAUGUGGAGGAAUACCGAUGGCGAAGGCAGCCCCCUGGGCCAAUACUGACGCUCAUGCACGAAAGCGUGGGGAGCAAACAGGAUUAGAUACCCUGGUAGUCCACGCCCUAAACGAUGUCAACUAGUUGUUGGGGAUUCAUUUCCUUAGUAACGUAGCUAACGCGUGAAGUUGACCGCCU